UGAUGUCAGCACCCAGCACCA
RNAcentral lists this microRNA (21 nucleotides) under Ornithorhynchus anatinus (platypus). RNAcentral's name for it is "oan-miR-1419e-3p". The record is from miRBase by way of RNAcentral. Lineage: Eukaryota; Metazoa; Chordata; Mammalia; Monotremata; Ornithorhynchidae.